RNAcentral lists this ribosomal RNA (899 nucleotides) under Vibrio harveyi. RNAcentral's name for it is "bacterial SSU rRNA". It matches the Rfam family "Bacterial small subunit ribosomal RNA", at positions 39 to 923 of the family's 1533-position model. Lineage: Bacteria; Pseudomonadati; Pseudomonadota; Gammaproteobacteria; Vibrionales; Vibrionaceae. The record is from RNAcentral.
GGGGAGGGCUACCUGCAGUCGAGCGGAACGAGUUAUCUGAACCUUCGGGGAACGAUAACGGCGUCGAGCGGCGGACGGGUGAGUAAUGCCUAGGAAAUUGCCCUGAUGUGGGGGAUAACCAUUGGAAACGAUGGCUAAUACCGCAUAAUACCUACGGGUCAAAGAGGGGGACCUUCGGGCCUCUCGCGUCAGGAUAUGCCUAGGUGGGAUUAGCUAGUUGGUGAGGUAAUGGCUCACCAAGGCGACGAUCCCUAGCUGGUCUGAGAGGAUGAUCAGCCACACUGGAACUGAGACACGGUCCAGACUCCUACGGGAGGCAGCAGUGGGGAAUAUUGCACAAUGGGCGCAAGCCUGAUGCAGCCAUGCCGCGUGUGUGAAGAAGGCCUUCGGGUUGUAAAGCACUUUCAGUCGUGAGGAAGGUAGUGUAGUUAAUAGCUGCAUUAUUUGACGUUAGCGACAGAAGAAGCACCGGCUAACUCCGUGCCAGCAGCCGCGGUAAUACGGAGGGUGCGAGCGUUAAUCGGAAUUACUGGGCGUAAAGCGCAUGCAGGUGGUUUGUUAAGUCAGAUGUGAAAGCCCGGGGCUCAACCUCGGAAUAGCAUUUGAAACUGGCAGACUAGAGUACUGUAGAGGGGGGUAGAAUUUCAGGUGUAGCGGUGAAAUGCGUAGAGAUCUGAAGGAAUACCGGUGGCGAAGGCGGCCCCCUGGACAGAUACUGACACUCAGAUGCGAAAGCGUGGGGAGCAAACAGGAUUAGAUACCCUGGUAGUCCACGCCGUAAACGAUGUCUACUUGGAGGUUGUGGCCUUGAGCCGUGGCUUUCGGAGCUAACGCGUUAAGUAGACCGCCUGGGGAGUACGGUCGCAAGAUUAAAACUCAAAUGAAUUGACGGGGGCCCG